RNAcentral lists this ribosomal RNA (234 nucleotides) under Triticum aestivum (bread wheat). RNAcentral's name for it is "partial small subunit ribosomal RNA". The record is from RNAcentral. Lineage: Eukaryota; Viridiplantae; Streptophyta; Magnoliopsida; Poales; Poaceae.
AUGAGGGUCAUUGCAUAUGGCAUUCUGGUUGACUAUGCUAACGAAUAUCUUCGCAUUGGCGAAAAUACUACAAUUGAGUCAGUGCGAAGGUUCGCCGAAGUGAUGAUUCACGUCUUUCGUCAUGUCUAUGUUCAUGCACCCAACGAGGAAGACACAAAAAUGUUGAUGGCAGCAAAUGAGAGGCGAGGUUGGCCCAGCAUGGUAGGAGACGUUCAUUGCAUGCAUUGGACUUGA